RNAcentral lists this ribosomal RNA (259 nucleotides) under uncultured prokaryote. Its description in RNAcentral is "partial 16S ribosomal RNA". It matches the Rfam family "Bacterial small subunit ribosomal RNA", at positions 524 to 782 of the family's 1533-position model. The record is from RNAcentral.
UUCAGAGGUCUCGAGCGUUGUUCGGAUUUACUGGGCGUAAAGGGAGCGUAGGCGGCCGGGUGUGUCGAAUGUGAAAGCCCACAACUCAACUGUGGAACGGCAUUCGAAACUACCUGGCUAGAGUACUGGAGAGGAGAGCGGAAUUCUUGGUGUAGCGGUGAAAUGCGUAGAUAUCAGGAGGAACACCAAUGGCGAGGGCAGGUCUCUGGGCAGUUACUGACGCUGAGGAGCGAAAGCAUGGGUAGCGAACAGGAUUAGA